RNAcentral lists this ribosomal RNA (566 nucleotides) under uncultured Gammaproteobacteria bacterium. RNAcentral describes it as "bacterial SSU rRNA". It matches the Rfam family "Bacterial small subunit ribosomal RNA", at positions 1 to 560 of the family's 1533-position model. The record is from RNAcentral. Lineage: Bacteria; Pseudomonadati; Pseudomonadota; Gammaproteobacteria.
GGGAAUUCGAUUAGAGUUUGAUCAUGGCUCAGAUUGAACGCUGGCGGCAGGCCUAACACAUGCAAGUCGAGCGGUAGAGAGGUGCUUGCACCUCUUGAGAGCGGCGGACGGGUGAGUAAUGCCUAGGAAUCUGCCUGGUAGUGGGGGAUAACGCUCGGAAACGGACGCUAAUACCGCAUACGUCCUACGGGAGAAAGCAGGGGACCUUCGGGCCUUGCGCUAUCAGAUGAGCCUAGGUCGGAUUAGCUAGUUGGUGGGGUAAUGGCUCACCAAGGCGACGAUCCGUAACUGGUCUGAGAGGAUGAUCAGUCACACUGGAACUGAGACACGGUCCAGACUCCUACGGGAGGCAGCAGUGGGGAAUAUUGGACAAUGGGCGAAAGCCUGAUCCAGCCAUGCCGCGUGUGUGAAGAAGGUCUUCGGAUUGUAAAGCACUUUAAGUUGGGAGGAAGGGCAUUAACCUAAUACGUUAGUGUUUUGACGUUACCGACAGAAUAAGCACCGGCUAACUCUGUGCCAGCAGCCGCGGUAAUACGAAUCACUAGUGAAUUCGCGGCCGCCUGCAG